This 1658-nucleotide long non-coding RNA is filed under the name Populus trichocarpa (black cottonwood). Its description in RNAcentral is "long non-coding RNA (PTRI_LNC001414)". Lineage: Eukaryota; Viridiplantae; Streptophyta; Magnoliopsida; Malpighiales; Salicaceae. The record is from RNAcentral.
UUAAAACCAAGUAUGUUUUUAGUGCGUUGUUGCAGGGAAUAAGAUCAAAGAAUAUGGAUGUUGCUUUAAGUGUUACUAAGCAAAGAGCAGUUUCAUUAUGAAAUCCAUACAGAUUUUCUAGUGGAGGAUGGUAAGAAGGUGAUUAAAGAAAAGUAUUAAGGUGAUUGUAACAGAUUCACUCAAGAAAUGGGAUGGUAUCAGUUGCAUGUUGUUUUGUGGUCUAUACAUCUCAAUUUUUGGGUUCUUGUCAUUUGUGCCCGCUUGGUAUAAUCUGAUUUGCCUGGUGCAAGAUGGAAGAGCUUUGUUUUAUGAAGUUACUGAUGAUUCAUCAUCAACUUUUUUCUUUUUUCUUUUCCAAGGUCGUUGAUUAUUCUGGCCGCCCUACGUCUGCAGGUUAUGUUAGGUGGCUCCUGGUCCUGGAGUUUGUAGUUGGUGAUGUUUAGAUUUCCAGGAUAUGUGUGGAAAACAUGAAAGGUCAUGGACAUGUGUGUGCUGACAAUUUUCUUGAAAGGACUAGGGCAGCUCUUAGUUUACUUUUUUUCCCUCUCUGUGGUCCCCAAUGUUAACCAUUUCACCUCCAUCUCGUCCACUUUCUCCUCCCCUCAUUGCCUAUCUCACGCUUUAGAAUUGUUGUAUUUUGACCCCAUAUGACCCACUCUAGUUUAUGUGUUUGCCACUGCGGCUUAGAAACGACGCUUUCCUGGGAACAAAUGCCAGUGCCAAGUGAACAAGUGUCUUACACUCACGACAUGGGUUUGGCUCCCUUUACUGAAUUGGCUUCCACCGAGAGAUCCUACUGUGGCGAUAACUUGGAAUGACACCACCACGGAUUUUGACUUUUGAGCUGAGAACUAUACCAGUCGCCCUGCAAUACGGAGAUAGUUGUGAAUUUUUAUGGCCUUCAAAUUCUGACAAAAAAUCCGAAAUAUGAGACGGAAUGCAUCAAAAUCAAACAACAAGUUACUCUAUAUAAAACAGGAAGGAAAUCUCACCAGGUAUGUAUUGGCAGGUACCUGCUAUUCAACGAGGGAUUACUCAAUUUUAGAGGAAUGCAAAACAGGGAAGUUCUGACUCUAAUCUUGUUGCUGAAAGAUUUAAAAUGGUAAAAACAAGAAAAAGAAAAAAAGUUUUUGGAGGAAAUAUUCCUGGUUCAAUCUAUAUAAAAAAUAAGAAUGGCAAUUAUGGCAUGAACUCUUUAUUCACCAACCUUUUGUUCUGAGGGACUAAUUGCAAAUUGCAUCAACCAAUCUCAUUAGAAUAAUUAUUCGUUUCAAAUUGAAUCCUAGUUGGUUAAGAUUUUGAACUCUAGUCAAGUUUUUUUUUUAAUCCUCCACUGAUUCUCACUAUAACCAGUGUUUCCAGGAAGUCACGAGGAGGAGCGAAGAAGCAAUAGAAAAUGCCACAAAGAGGUGGGUGGCUAGCAGCACAGAAGAUAUCUGCUAGCGACCUCACCAUGAUUAACUCAAUAUACUUUCUGAUAUUCCCUUUCCUGUAGUGUAGGUGGGAUUCAUCUUGUAACUGGGGAUUUUUUUUAUUUCUUCAGCAGAUGUUAUUACUCUUCACUCGCCUGAUUGUUGAUGGAUUUGAUUUUGCUGCAACUGUUAGUUUGUAUUCUUGUAUAUCUAGAGCAUAACUUGUUUGGAUUUAUUCAUAAUGGC